GCACAAUACAAAGAAAGAGCUUGGAUCUCUUUGCCAACAGUUUGACAUCUCUUACCAAAAGCCCUCUUUUUCAAACACCAAACCUUGCCAAGACUGUCAAACCCAAAGAUACCGAAAGUACAAGAAACACUAUUCCAAAGACAAACCUUCCUAAUUGGAAAAGCCUUGCAAAAGAAAAGCCCAUACUAGAAAGUACCGAAAAUCUCACCCAAAGCCACAAGAACCCACUCCCAG
RNAcentral lists this unclassified non-coding RNA (234 nucleotides) under Hevea brasiliensis (rubber tree). The record is from RNAcentral. Lineage: Eukaryota; Viridiplantae; Streptophyta; Magnoliopsida; Malpighiales; Euphorbiaceae.